UGAAAUUAUUGUAUUGGCAUCUUGUAAAUU
RNAcentral lists this non-coding RNA (30 nucleotides) under Mus musculus (house mouse). Lineage: Eukaryota; Metazoa; Chordata; Mammalia; Rodentia; Muridae. The record is from RNAcentral.